Molecule: long non-coding RNA, 548 nt
Organism: Saccostrea cuccullata (small rock oyster)
Lineage: Eukaryota; Metazoa; Mollusca; Bivalvia; Ostreida; Ostreidae
Exons: 3
Source: RefSeq, a predicted model, not a curated record
AAUAUAAGAAACGAGAAACAUAAGACUGGAAAAAAGCAAUACCCGAAGGCUGCAGUUUUUAAAAAUACUACUUAUGAAGCUGAAAGAGAUGCAGAUAAGAAUAUUUCUACCGUGCAAUGUGAGAGAAAGGUUGAAAAUGUGCCAAAUUGUGCUCAUUCCAAUUAUUUCCCAGUAACAAAAACACGCGCACCUAUCAUGGAAAUAAAAGUUCGAUGAUGAAAAGUUAUGACGUAAAUGAUGACGAAUACAAUCAUCUGCAUGAAAAGGAAGAGGAUUCCGAAAAUGAUGAAACUUACGACCACGCCCAAGGAAACACUAAUCGUACAAUGGAAGAUAGUGAUUACAGCAAUCUCAAUACAGGGAUAAGAUAUAAGGAACCCGGUGCCUCUGCUGCUGAAGAUAAUGAUCAUGAUGAUCGAGAGCAACCUUGUGAUUACUGUGCACUGAAAAAGCAGUAAAGAUAUUAAUUUUUGUGCAAAAACACUGCUGUGCUUAGUCAGAAUCAUGUAUUUUAUUUCUAAAACUGUUUGUUGCCUUUCAUUAACUUU